CACUGGGGUUCAGUGGUAGAAUUCCCACCUUCCAUGUGGGAGAUCUGGGUUCAAUUCCCAGCCAGUGA
RNAcentral lists this transfer RNA (68 nucleotides) under Loxodonta africana (African savanna elephant). It matches the Rfam family "tRNA". From Rfam's summary of the family: Transfer RNA (tRNA) molecules are approximately 80 nucleotides in length. Their secondary structure includes four short double-helical elements and three loops (D, anti-codon, and T loops). The record is from Rfam by way of RNAcentral. Lineage: Eukaryota; Metazoa; Chordata; Mammalia; Proboscidea; Elephantidae.